RNAcentral lists this ribosomal RNA (253 nucleotides) under uncultured bacterium. RNAcentral's name for it is "partial 16S ribosomal RNA". It matches the Rfam family "Bacterial small subunit ribosomal RNA", at positions 524 to 776 of the family's 1533-position model. The record is from RNAcentral.
UACGUAGGCAGCGAGCGUUGUUCGGAGUUACUGGGCGUAAAGGGCGCGUAGGCGGCUUGGCAAGUGGAUGGUGAAAUCCCUCGGCUUAACCGAGGAACUGCCAUCCAGACUGCUUUGCUUGAGGCCGGGAGAGGUGAGUGGAAUUCCCAGUGUAGCGGUGAAAUGCGUAGAUAUCGAGAGGAACAUCGGUGGCGAAGGCGGCCUUCUGGACGGUGACUGACGCUGAGACGCGAAAGCGUGGGGAGCAAACAGG